This 508-nucleotide long non-coding RNA is filed under the name Homo sapiens (human). RNAcentral's name for it is "non-protein coding ZFAS1:16". The stretch from base 169 to 255 matches the Rfam family "ZNFX1 antisense RNA 1 conserved region 3". Lineage: Eukaryota; Metazoa; Chordata; Mammalia; Primates; Hominidae. The record is from RNAcentral.
CGGUGCCCGGAGUGUGGUACUUCUCCUAGUUGCAGUCAGGCUUCAUACGCUAUUGUCCUGCCCGUUAGAGCAGCCAGCGGGUACAGAAUGGAUUUUGGAAGAGGGAGUCACCACUGGACCUCCAAGGAAGCCACGUGCAGACAUCUACAACCUUCGAUCUCCUGACGAGUUUAUUGUUGGCCAAAACCAGGCUUUGAUUGAACCAGGAUGAAUGCGGGUGUUGGAAGUAGAAUAUAUAUAUACAUAUAAAAUUGGUUGGGAGCCACGUGUACCAGUGUGUGUUGAUCUUGGCUUGAUUCAGUCUGCCUUGUAACAGAUUUUGCCUGCCUGAGCUCCUCUAGUAGUGGCCACAAUUGCCAGAGAAGAUAGAGCAGGUCUCUCCCAGGACUUGCAGCUCCAGCCUGUGUCUGCAAGGGGUGUUGUAGCGACUGAUUUCUCCAGCCCAUGGCAAGAGGCCUUCAUCUUGUGCCUGGAAAGAGGGAAGUACAAGUCCGUCUGGCAGAGAUGG